Molecule: long non-coding RNA, 1562 nt
Filed under: Panax ginseng (ginseng)
Lineage: Eukaryota; Viridiplantae; Streptophyta; Magnoliopsida; Apiales; Araliaceae
Description: long non-coding RNA (PGIN_LNC004424)
Source: RNAcentral
UCCAAGGUUAUUUUUUCCCAUACUUGUUUGUGUGAUUUUUGAUAACAGUCAAAAUAUGUGAACAAGUAACAGUUGGUUUUGGUACAAGUGAACAAUACAAUCAUUCACUUUGAUUAGUUUUCCACCACCUUUCAUCAGUGUAUCUCAGAGAAUGUAUUUUGCGAAGAGCAGAUGUUCUCUUCAAGAUCUAUCCACAUUUCACAUUUAUUGAAUAAACAAGAUUUAAAGUACUUCUAACAAGAAACUUCUAUUGAUAUGUGGGAUGUACCACACUGAGAAACGAAUUGAAAAAUCCUGCAGAUAAUGGUGGAAGCAGAAUUCGCAUUACUCAUAUUCAUAGAAUUCAAACAUGUACACAAGUUUGUCUUACUGACUAAACCAUUACUAUUACAUUAUUAAACUAUUACUAUUACAUUCUGACUAAAAAACUUCACUGCAAGUAACAGAAAACUUCACUGCAAGUAACCAAAAACUUUACUGCAAGUAAGGGUUAUCAAAUUUCAAAAGCUUCACCUCUGACCAAAAAACCAAGUUGGGAUUUUGAGCUGAAUUUCACUGCAAGUAACAUGAACAAUAAUCAGUGGUAAAUUCAUCAACAGACAUGUUAAAUUCAACAAUAAACCAAAACAGCAGGAUAUCAUUCUCACCAAAACAGAACUACAAUAAUAUUCAAGUUCCAAAUUCAUUAUAAAGUCAAAGUUCAUCAAUAAACCAAAACAGCAAAACAGCAGGAUAUCAUUCUCAGUUGAGUAACUGAGGAACUGGGCACUUGAGGUCAUAAAAAAAAUGCAGGUUCAUAAAAUAAACUGAUUCUAAUGUGUACACUGCCUAGCUAGUUUCUGCUGCACACUGCCUUGCCAUUCAUCAUGUGUACAGAACAAUAGUGCAUUAAAACAGUAGUGCAUUAUUCUCAGUCAAAGGCUUUAAGGCAUAUCAUCAUAGAGGAACUUACAUAUCAUCACAGAGUAAGACAAUACAUACACAAACUGAUAUCAAAAUACCGAACUGUUAUAGGGCAUAUCAUCACAGAGGUGGCGAAUUAGAGGGCAUACACAAAAUUCUUCCAAACUAAUAUCAAAAUACCGAACUGUUAUACUAAAAUUGAAAAAGUUUGACAAUCAAGGGUUGUAACAGGGAGAAAAACUCCAUGUUAUGGUGUUAAUGCGCAAGAAAAAAACCUUUUAACAAUGGGUGUGUUUUUGCAGCCCAGUUAUUAUAAAGGACAGCUACUUACAUUAUUAAGACGCAAGAAAGUGAUAGAAUUUACGCACACUGAUUCGCGCCUCUCCAAUAAUGAUGUCCCCAAUUCAAUCCAGAGGCUCAGGUGCCGUGCAAUGUAUGAGGCUCUUCGAUUCACUGAUGAGAUUGAAAAGCUAGGAAAAAAAAAACAUGGAAUUUGACACUAUCAGGGCUUUUGUUCGCUGAAUCGCGAAUCUAGGGCACAGUAUGGGAAGAAUUCGUAUUUUGAGAGAAGAGAGAGAGAGAGAAUCGCGUUUUGGGCUAGGGCUGGGAUUUGGGAAGAGAAGGUACUCGGUUUUUAUGUGUUUAAAUAGUUAUGUUAC